GAUGAAGAACGCAGCGAAAUGCGAUACGUAAUGUGAAUUGCAGAAUUCAGUGAAUCAUCGAAUCUUUGAACGCACAUUGCGCCCGCCAGUAUUCUGGCGGGCAUGCCUGUCUGAGCGUCAUUUCAACCCUCAUGCCCCUAGGGCGUGGUGUUGGGGAUCGGCCAAAGCCCGCGAGGGACGGCCGGCCCCUAAAUCUAGUGGCGGACCCGUCGUGGCCUCCUCUGCGAAGUAGUGAUAUUCCGCAUCGGAGAGCGAUGAGCCCCUGCCGUUAAACCCCCAACUUUCCAAGGUUGACCUCAGAUCAGGUAGGAAUACCCGCUGAACUUAAGCAUAUCAAUAAGCGGAGGA
Molecule: unclassified non-coding RNA, 348 nt
Filed under: soil metagenome
Description: partial contains 5.8S ribosomal RNA, internal transcribed spacer 2, and large subunit ribosomal RNA
Rfam family: 5.8S ribosomal RNA (bases 1-120)
Source: RNAcentral